This 618-nucleotide ribosomal RNA is filed under the name uncultured bacterium. Its description in RNAcentral is "bacterial SSU rRNA". The stretch from base 1 to 524 matches the Rfam family "Bacterial small subunit ribosomal RNA", at positions 338 to 873 of the family's 1533-position model. The record is from RNAcentral.
CCUACGGGAGGCAGCAGUGGGGAAUCUUGCGCAAUGGGCGAAAGCCUGACGCAGCAACGCCGCGUGCGGGAAGAAGGCUUUCGGGCUGUAAACCGCUUUCAGCAGGAACGAAAAUGACGGUACCUGCAGAAGAAGGAGCGGCCAACUAUGUGCCAGCAGCCGCGGUGAUACAUAGGCUUCAAGCGUUGUCCGGAUUUAUUGGGCGUAAAGAGUUCGUAGGCGGUCGAGUAAGUCGGGUGUGAAAAUUCUGGGCUCAACCCAGAGACGCCACCCGAUACUGCUUAACUUGAGUUCGAUAGGGGAGUGGGGAAUUCCUAGUGUAGCGGUGAAAUGCGCAGAUAUUAGGAGGAACACCGGUGGCGAAGGCGCCACUCUGGAUCGAUACUGACGCUGAGGAACGAAAGCAUGGGUAGCAAACAGGAUUAGAUACCCUGGUAGUCCAUGCCGUAAACGGUGGGCACUAGGUGUGGGUAGUUCUAUUAACGUAACUACCGUCGCCGUCGUCGUACGCAUUAGUGCCCGCCGUCGGGUAGGUACGGUCGCGACGAACGUAAACCUACAAACUAGAAGUUAGACGGCGUGAGACGUCGCCGACGGACGACCGACGAGGGAGGUAGG